UACGAAAGGUGAGAGCGUUAAUCGGAAUUACUGGGCGUAAAGCGCGCGUAGGCGGUGUGUUAAGUCGGAUGUGAAAGCCCAGGGCUCAACCUUGGAAUUGCAUCCGAUACUGGCACGCUAGAGUGCAGUAGAGGGAGGUGGAAUUUCCGGUGUAGCGGUGAAAUGCGUAGAGAUCGGAAGGAACACCAGUGGCGAAGGCGGCCUCCUGGACUGACACUGACGCUGAGGUGCGAAAGCGUGGGGAGCAAAC
Molecule: ribosomal RNA, 250 nt
Filed under: uncultured bacterium
Lineage: Bacteria
Also listed under: 1 other name
Description: partial 16S ribosomal RNA
Rfam family: Bacterial small subunit ribosomal RNA
Source: RNAcentral